RNAcentral lists this ribosomal RNA (484 nucleotides) under uncultured bacterium. Its description in RNAcentral is "partial 16S ribosomal RNA". It matches the Rfam family "Bacterial small subunit ribosomal RNA", at positions 30 to 507 of the family's 1533-position model. The record is from RNAcentral.
AUUGAACGCUGGCGGCAUGCCUUACACAUGCAAGUCGAGCGGAUGCAGGGAGCUUGCUCCUGGAUUCAGCGGCGGACGGGUGUGUAAUGCCUAGGAAUCUGCCUGGUAGUGGGGGAUAACGUCCGGAGACGGGCGCUAAUACCGCAUACGUCCUGAGGGAGAAAGUGGGGGAUCUUCGGACCUCACGCUAUCAGAUGAGCCUAGGUCGGAUUAGCUAGUUGGUGGGGUAAAGGCCCACCAAGGCGACGAUCCGUAACUGGUCUGAGAGGAUGAUCAGUCACACUGGGACUGAGACACGGUCCAGACUCCUACGGGAGGCAGCAGUGGGGAAUAUUGGACAAUGGGCGCAAGCCUGAUCCAGCCAUGCCGCGUGUGUGAAGAAGGUCUUCGGAUUGUAAAGCACUUUAGGUUGGGAGGAAGGGCAGUAAGUUAAUACCUUGCUGUAUUGACGUUACCAACAGAAUAAGCACCGGCUAACUUCGUG